CUUGGAGGAGAUGGUAA
Molecule: non-coding RNA, 17 nt
Filed under: Mus musculus (house mouse)
Lineage: Eukaryota; Metazoa; Chordata; Mammalia; Rodentia; Muridae
Source: RNAcentral